GCGAAAAAACCUUACACACAGUGUUUUUUGUUAUUACAAGAACUUUUGCUUUGGUCUGGACUAGAAAUAGUUUGGGCCAGAGGUUUACUGAACUAAACUUCAAUAUUUAUAUUGAAUUGUUAUUUAUUUAAUUGUCAAUUUGUUGAUUAAAUUCAAAAAAUCUUCAAAACUUUCAACAACGGAUCUCUUGGUUCUCGCAUCGAUGAAGAACGCAGCGAAAUGCGAUAAGUAAUAUGAAUUGCAGAUUUUCGUGAAUCAUCGAAUCUUUGAACGCACAUUGCGCCCUCUGGUAUUCCAGAGGGCAUGCCUGUUUGAGCGUCAUUUCUCUCUCAAACCUUCGGGUUUGGUAUUGAGUGAUACUCUUAGUCGAACUAGGCGUUUGCUUGAAAUGUAUUGGCAUGAGUGGUACUGGAUAGUGCUAUAUGACUUUCAAUGUAUUAGGUUUAUCCAACUCGUUGAAUAGUUUAAUGGUAUAUUUCUCGGUAUUCUAGGCUCGGCCUUACAAUAUAACAAACAAGUUUGACCUCAAAUCAGGUAGGAUUACCCGCUGAACUUUAAGCAUAUCAAUAAGCGGAGGAAAAGAAACCAACAGGGAUUGCCUUAGUAACGGCGAGUGAAGCGGCAAAAGCUCAAAUUUGAAAUCUGGC
Molecule: ribosomal RNA, 647 nt
Filed under: Debaryomyces fabryi
Lineage: Eukaryota; Fungi; Ascomycota; Pichiomycetes; Serinales; Debaryomycetaceae
Description: eukaryotic LSU rRNA
Rfam family: 5.8S ribosomal RNA (bases 168-321)
Source: RNAcentral